GAUGAACGCUAGCUACAGGCUUAACACAUGCAAGUCGAGGGGCAGCAUGAAAGGAACUUCGGUUCUUUUUGAUGGCGACCGGCGCACGGGUGCGUAACGCGUAUCGAACCUGCCUCAUACUCGGGGAUAGCCUUGCGAAAGUAAGAUUAAUACCCGGCGGUCUCGGAUGGCCGCAUGACUAUCCGAGUGAAGAUUUAUCGGUAUGAGAUGGCGAUGCGUCCCAUUAGCUAGUUGGUGAGGUAAUGGCUCACCAAGGCAUCGAUGGGUAGGGGUUCUGAGAGGAAGGUCCCCCACAUUGGAACUGAGACACGGUCCAAACUCCUACGGGAGGCAGCAGUGAGGAAUAUUGGUCAAUGGCCGAGAGGCUGAACCAGCCAAGUCGCGUGAAGGAAGAAGGAUCUAUGGUUUGUAAACUUCUUUUAUAGGGGAAUAAAGUGGAGGACGUGUCCUUUUUUGUAUGUACCCUAUGAAUAAGCAUCGGCUAACUCCGUGCCAGCAGCCGCGGUAAUACGGAGGAUCCGAGCGUUAUCCGGAUUUAUUGGGUUUAAAGGGAGCGUAGAUGGGUUGUUAAGUCAGUUGUGAAAGUUUGCGGCUCAACCGUAAAAUUGCAAUUGAUACUGGCAGUCUUGAGUACAGUUGAGGUAGGCGGAAUUCGUGGUGUAGCGGUGAAAUGCUUAGAUAUCACGAAGAACUCCGAUUGCGAAGGCAGCUUACUAACCUGUAACUGACAUUGAUGCUCGAAAGUGUGGGUAUCAAACAGG
RNAcentral lists this ribosomal RNA (761 nucleotides) under uncultured bacterium. RNAcentral describes it as "bacterial SSU rRNA". It matches the Rfam family "Bacterial small subunit ribosomal RNA", at positions 28 to 776 of the family's 1533-position model. The record is from RNAcentral.